GUUAGCCGGCAGUGUCUUCUGAAAAGAGAGCUGUUUAGAGAGGCAGUUUUGAAUUCAGGAGCGGCAAGAUGGCAGCGGCAAACCCUGGCGGUUCUCCGGGUUCGUGGCAACCACGGAUGGGAAAAUGUGGAGGUUGCACGGCUGAUGUUUACUGUUCGUGGCACAGGAAGAGGCAGUUUCAUUUCAGGAAUGAGUGUGCACAAUCAAAGGUUUGUUCUCAUAAAAUACUGUCAACCUCAAAUGUUUCUGACAUAAGAUGGAAGGUGUUGCAGCUUUAUUU
Molecule: long non-coding RNA, 280 nt
Organism: Pelmatolapia mariae (spotted tilapia)
Lineage: Eukaryota; Metazoa; Chordata; Actinopteri; Cichliformes; Cichlidae
Exons: 3
Source: RefSeq, a predicted model, not a curated record